AAGCCAUGAUGUGGACACUGGUUUGUGUAACUCCUAAACCUUUCCCAAGCUUCCCCAAACCUGAUCUCCGGCAACGGCUCCAAUUGAUAACUAAAAGUUUUAAGCUC
Small nucleolar RNA from Eutrema salsugineum, 107 nucleotides. It matches the Rfam family "Plant small nucleolar RNA R71". Rfam says of the family: R71 is a member of the C/D box family of snoRNAs containing the C (UGAUGA) and D (CUGA) box motifs. Lineage: Eukaryota; Viridiplantae; Streptophyta; Magnoliopsida; Brassicales; Brassicaceae. The record is from Rfam.